AUCAGAUAGACAAACAGAUGCUAGAACCUUCCUCACAUGCAUGCAUGUGGUGAUCAGAAUUCAUGUGAAGAGGUGCAAGAAUAACAUCCUUCUAAGAGAAUUUUAUCACCAUAUCAAGUUUUCUAAAAUUAGAAAUGAGUCCCCUAUCCACAUGGAUUUUUGUAGAUUUUUUUGAUUGGAGAAGGGAUGCGAAAACGUCCCUUCUCUAGUCGCACAUGUAGGUUCAGGUG
RNAcentral lists this long non-coding RNA (230 nucleotides) under Elaeis guineensis (African oil palm). RNAcentral's name for it is "long non-coding RNA (EGUI_LNC058765)". The record is from RNAcentral. Lineage: Eukaryota; Viridiplantae; Streptophyta; Magnoliopsida; Arecales; Arecaceae.